RNAcentral lists this long non-coding RNA (2783 nucleotides) under Sus scrofa (pig). RNAcentral's name for it is "lncRNA (ENSSSCG00015025410.1)". Lineage: Eukaryota; Metazoa; Chordata; Mammalia; Artiodactyla; Suidae. The record is from RNAcentral.
GACACAGCUGGCUGCCUCGCCGGCUGCGGGAGGGGCAGCAGGAGCAGGUGGCCAGACCGUGACAUCCCCACGCUGCCGCCUGCCUGGCCCUGUUGACUCACCUCAGAUGUCAACUCGGCCGCCCACAGGGCCCAGUCCUGUACAGCUGGGGCAGGUGGCGGGCAGGCCCGGCAGGUGCCAGGCCAGGCCUCAGGCCCUCCCAGAGGCAGAUGCUGGAGGCAGGGGCGGCUGGGUCCCCUCCAAGGUUGGCGGACUCCACCGUCCCCGGUGAGCAGGGACCCAGGGGUCAGCAAGGAAGCUGGUGUACAGCUGCCUGGGGUCCCCAGCCUUGGAGACUGCAUGAGGGAACUGAGGCCACAGGGAGAGGGCCGGGGUCCAGGCCCCAGAAGUGAGUGGCGGUCCAGAGACCACCCAGGACCCCUCUGAGAAGCACCCCUGCCAGGCUCCCUGCCAUGGAGCCAGCGCCCAGGAGCCGUGGGCACGGGGGAAGACCUCCCCGGGCUGCAGAGUGGCGUUGUAGGAGGAAAGGCUGCCGCCCUCCCUGACAAGCCUGACCCCAGCUGCAAUGUCGCCUGCCCGGCUCUCCCAGGACCGGGGGCCCACUCCCCACCCAGGGCCACGUGGCUCUCACUGCUGCGUCGCCUCCAGGGUGCAAGCGGGCCUCGGCACUCAUGCCCAGCCUGCUGACCCCAGACGGCCCCACCCCCUCUGCAGAGGGACGGCCUCCCCGAGCCGGCCCCACCUGCCCCAUCCUGGGUCCUGAAGUCCAGCCGCUGCAUGUCCGCCGGUUGUCCCGGCACACACGCAGGACUAGGGCGCCAGGUGCACAAGGCCCGCCUCUCCACUCACGACUUUGCCCGCGUGGGGGUGAUUCAGAGCCAUCAGAGGUGUGCCAGUCACUGGCCUUGGGAUGUGGUCACCCACCCUCGGGCUGGCCAGAGGCUCUUGUCCAGCUCCAACUGGCCACCAUGCAGCCCCACCUGACCCCCACUGUCCCGGAACCAGCAGCCCCAUUGGGCGCCGGCCCCUCCUCAUUGGGCCUCAGUUUCCUCGGGUGUCAGGCCCUGUCCUUGUGCUCCCUGAAGGGGUCAAGGCGCAGCUUCUCCAAGGCUGGGGUCGUGGAUGGGGGUGCAUGAGAACUGUCGUGUUUGGAUGGGGGCGUCGGCCCAUGGAAGGAGCCCCAGCCCACCGCCGUGCUCACAAUGACCUUGGCGCUGCAAGUGCCUAGAGCUGACGCAGAAUCCCAGCUACCCAUGGGGGUCACUUCUCACUUGGGAGGCUUCACUGGGAGAAGGGACAGCAGCAGGCGUUUGGCUGGUGCUUUGAGCUGGGAUCUUGCCUGGGCUGUGAGGUCCCAGCCCUGGGAGACACCGGCUUUUGGGAGCUCAUAGCUGGUCUUCUCUGAAUUGCCCGGCCCCACAGAGCUGGUUCUGCUCCACCAGGAGGCUUUCUGCUCCCUGGGUAACCCCCAGGGGGACAGAUGCUGGGCCCAACAAAGCUGGAUGUCACCCCCAGGGGAAGUGGCCACUGGGGCUGGGCUGGAGGGGGCCAGGGGGCCUGGGGGCCCAGGUCAGACGCCGGGUCAGUGUGGCUCAGCCGUGUGGGUUUCCCAAGCGUCCAUGGAAACAUAUGAGACUCAGAAUGCUAUGCGCCUUAAACGGCGAAAAGAACAGCAAUCUCUUUUAAAGCUGAAGUAGGAGAGCUUGUCCCUCCGAGAACAGACGUGUCUGAACGCUCCCUGUAGGAGGCGGGGGCAGGGCCGAGGGGGGCGGAUGGGAUCCGACUGUGGCCGCUGGGAGGGAGCAGCGCCGGUUGGGGGGCGUCGCCGCACCCAGAUCUCUUAGCUGCCAGUUGUGUGUCGUAGGAGCUGGACCCCACAAAGUGACAGGUAGGGACCAGGACGCCAACAGGGAGUCCUCAGGCAGAGGAGUCCUCUGACCGCCCCAGGGCAGAAAAUGUCAGGCCUGUUUGAGGUCCCCUGAGAGGGACAGGUGGGCCCAGGUGGCAGGUUUCAGCAGAAGCAUGGCCAGGGCGACAGUGAGUGUCCCUGGCUGGAGGAUGCCAGCCAAGGCUGCCGGGCGCUGGGGUGUUGAACAAGGGCCUGUGGAGCGCGCCGUCCUGCGAGCCUUGGGUCCCCUGUCCCAGGGGUGAGGCUCAGUAGUCACCACUGUCAUCAGGUGGCCUUGCCCUCCUCCCCUCCUCCUCCCUCCAGCUGCCCCCCGACCACAGGCUCUUCUCGAGAACAUUCUCUGCCUGGAAAGCCCUUCUCUGCAGCAUCAGUUUCCUGGGGCUGCUGCAAGCAAGCAGCACAACCCGGGGACUUAGGCGGGAAAUCCCUGCCUUCCCAGGCCUCCAGCCAGAGUCUGAAUCCAGAGGCCACAGAGACAUGUGGGAGGGUCCUUCUUGCACCUGGCGGCUCCAAGUGUCCUUGGCUUGUGGCCACAUGGCUCCUUUCUCUGUGCCCAUCUUCAUGUGGCCUCUCCUCGUGUCUCUGCCUCUUCUCUUCUUAUAGGAACUGUUGUCUUUGGGAGUUCCCGUCAUGGCUCAGGGGUUGAUGAAUCUGACCAGCAUCCACAGGGACGCAGGUUCCAUCCCUGGCCUCGCUCAGUGGGUUAAGGGUCCGGUGUUGCCGUGAGCGUGGUGUAGGUUGCAGAUGUGGCUUGGAUCCUCUGUGGCUGUGUUGUGGCUUAGGUUGGUGGCUGUAGCUCUGACUGGACCCCUGGCCUGGGAACCUCCAUGUGCUGUGGGUGUGGCCCUAAAAAGCAAAAAAAAAAAAAAAAAAA